UACGGGGGGGGCAAGCGUUGUUCGGAAUUACUGGGCGUAAAGGGCUCGUAGGCGGCCAACUAAGUCAGACGUGAAAUCCCUCGGCUUAACCGGGGAACUGCGUCUGAUACUGGAUGGCUCGAGUUUGGGAGAGGGAUGCGGAAUUCCAGGUGUAGCGGUGAAAUGCGUAGAUAUCUGGAGGAACACCGGUGGCGAAAGCGGCUUCCUGGUCCGACACCGACGUUCAGGCACGAAAGCGUGGGGAGCAAACAGG
RNAcentral lists this ribosomal RNA (253 nucleotides) under uncultured bacterium. RNAcentral describes it as "partial 16S ribosomal RNA". It matches the Rfam family "Bacterial small subunit ribosomal RNA", at positions 524 to 776 of the family's 1533-position model. The record is from RNAcentral.